This 1042-nucleotide long non-coding RNA is filed under the name Felis catus (domestic cat). RNAcentral's name for it is "lncRNA (ENSFCAG00000051068.1)". Lineage: Eukaryota; Metazoa; Chordata; Mammalia; Carnivora; Felidae. The record is from RNAcentral.
GAAGGGGCCCUAAUUCAACAUGACCGGCGUCCUGACAGGGAGAAAAAAGGAAGAACACCAUGUAACAAGAGACAGAUACUAGAGUGACGUCACCGCAAGCCCAGAAACACCGAGAAUUGUUGGGAACCACCAGAAGCUGGAAGAAGCAAGGAACACACUCUCCCUCAGAACCUGCAGAAGGAACCAGCCCUGCCUACACACCUUGAUUUUGGACUUACAGCCUCCAGAAGUGUGAGUGAAUAAAUUUUCUGUUAUUUUAAGCCACCCAGUUUGUAAUAGUUUGUUAUAGCAGCCCUAGGAAACAAGGACAGGUUUACUUGCCUUGGCUGGGAUGGCUGGAACAGCUGGGGACUGACCAGUCCGCCUCCCUCCACCCCUUCCCCCUCCCAUCUCUCUGGGUCUCUCCAACCAUGUGGUCUCUCCACCACAGUAGCUGGGCCCCUUUAUGUGGAGGCUCCAUGUUGCAAGAGUGAAAGUAGAAGCUACUAGACAUCUUAUGGAUCAGGCCCAGAGCUAUCACCAGCUUACCUCUGCCAUGUUCUGUUGGUUAAGGCAAAUUGCAGAGCCUGCUCAGAUUCGGGAGGAGGAAACAGACUCCACGUGUUGAUGGAGGAGUGAUAGAGGCAUGGAAGGCAUGGAAGGACUUGGUGUCCAUCUUUGGAAACAGUCUCAAACAAGGAUUGUGUCCACCUGAGUUUGAGUAAAUGCAGAAAGAAUUGGCUUAUGGCGUUGAGGAGAGCCUAAAGCACAGAACCAUUGAGGGUUUUGCUGAAUGCAAUGGAACCACCGUCUCUGGAACGCCAGGGGCCAGUCGCCAUAGAAGCAGUCAACCUGAACCGUUGCAGGGUGUUUAUCUUCAGGAAUCUUGAGGCCCACCCCCAGGAGCCCUGGGCUUCCAGGAGGAUCACUGCCCCUCUGACAAGCAUGGCCUCAUCACGCUCAGUGACUCAUGAACCGGGCGCCAAUUAGCACACGGAUAUUAUGAAGAAGAAAGGAAAAUGAACUGAAUAAAACAGACAACAGAAUGGGUGGGGCUUGCCCU